CCAGGAUCCACCCUUUCCCAGACCUCAUUUAAGGGCUGGCAGUAGAGAUGAGAAUAUCUUGUUGGAGAUUCCUGUGUACCUGAGACCUUCUGAAGGCAUAUUACUCUCUGAGGCUUUCACUAGAUUGCUGCAGUGCAUGGAACUCCUUCUCACCACUUUUUCACCUAGGAAGGGGGAGUCUUUGUGGAUAACAACAAGGUUGCAGUGUCUCCUGGCUGCUGGAGUUGUGGUUGUUGGCUGACAGGGACCAUCAGAGCGGCAUCUGCCAGAGCUUCAGUUGUCCCACUUCCUCCAUAUUCAUCCAGAGGACAGUAUUUGCAAGCAGUAUUUCCCAGUGACAAUUACUCCCUUUAUUUAUUGCUCCUCUCUCAUCCCCCUAUGGCAUCAGUUCUAUAGAAACUACCAUACUGGUGAUAUCCUGACUACAGUGGGCAGAGGAAAGCACAGAAGAACGGUCAGGUUGCUUUUACCCACAAGGCAGAAAUUUCAAGGAAAUCUAAUCCUCACACACUUUCUCUUGAAAAGAGAUCCACUGGCAAAUUACUUCUGCUUUUAGAUAGACUUACAAGUUCCCACUUGCUUAUCUGGUUAACAGUGUCAGUCACUUAUACUGCGACACCAGGAAAUCUGAUUCCCACUGUUGGUGUGAGAGCAACCUGUAGGCGCUUGACCUUUUUAAUGUUCUGUAAUUCGAUUGGGUGGCUGUUCUGUAUUUCCUUGUCACUAGCCCAGUAAUCUGAGAGGGAGAAGUGGAAAAGACAGCCAGUAAAGAUACAAGCAAUCACAAGCGGGAAUUUGUUGAGGCCUCAGGUUUCCAAAAUUACUCAAAGUAUCUUCCUCAUGUGGAGCUUGGAUGAAGCGUGGCUUGGCUCUUCAUCCUGGAAAUGGCUCCUACAGGAGCCCUCUGCUCACACAGUGGCUGCUUGGCCAAAACUCGGUGCAAAGGCCAAUGCUGACUUAUGCCAUGUGAAGAUCUGUGCCUUUUCUGAUACAAUGGUGCAGAAGUGCAGUUCUUCAGGAUGCAUGUCCUAGAGAAACACCAGCAAGUGUUCUGCUGUGUUUUUAUAAAAUACCUUGGCAAAACUGGGCCUCCAACCGAGGAUCUGUAAUUUUAAUCUCUGGGGUGUGACUGAGUCAAUAUUCCAUAAGGAUUGGAUCCAGGGAUGUUCCUGCUCAGCACAGGGUGUUGAAUGCAAACGUUUCAGUUAAGCCCUCUCUGAUAACCUUCUGAUUCCUAACUGAUAACCUAACUGAUUCCAGUUCUGGGGAUCCCAAUCAUCCUCAAAUCCCAUUUUAGGAUCCUAUCACCCAAAUUAUCUUUUGAGGAGAUACUCCAAGUUUUGCAGCAUCACAUCCUUUCUCUGUUCUAUGCCAAUAAUUAGCUCUUUCAGUGACAGAACUUCCCAAAUUGUUUUGAAGAACUCUUUUUCUGAAAAAAUCAUUAUACCCAGGAGAUCCAGCUUAAAGGAUUCUUGGAAACUGUAGGAGAUAAGCUCCAAGUCAGGCUAAGACUUCGUAUGCUUGCGAUAUCUCAUGUUGAUAUUUUGCUCUCCUGAAGCUAAAGGUGAUGCUUCUUAUUUCCAUGCACACGUAUACAUACGAACUGCAGCUGAACACCCAGAUCCCUCUGACAACUAUAGGAUGUUGAAGAAUUUCAGCUCUUCCAGCCUUGGGUGAUGCCUGACCUGCCAGUACCUCUGAAUCAGUGCUGCCAAUGAAGAAAGGGGAAGUGACCAAUUCUCAAUGAAAUCAGUACCAUGUAAUUUUUGGACUGGAGCCACAGCUGGUGUUACCCUGGCUGACCAUCUUUUCCUGCUCCUCUGAUUGCUCUGUGUCUGAAAACAUUUCAUGGAAAAGCAAAGCAAAGUUCAGGACUUAUCACGUACAAUAGAGCAUUAUAUAGUGAUCUCUGGGUGCUUAGGAGUCUUUCCAUUGAUUUCAGGGCUGUGGCUCAAACCUUUGAUCAGCAAAGUGGGACCAGUGCAGAGACGGGGAAGUUCUCCUGUGCUGUUGGCCCCAUGGAUCCCCUUGACUCAAACAAGGUCAAAACCUCAAUUUCCAUAGCUGUAAAAGAGUGAUAAGACUAUUUACUGCAAGAUGCCUGAGUACAAAGAGUGCCAAGGAUCAUCCUGACUAAUGACUAGGUGAUGUCACAGAGGAAGGAGUUGCAUAUAAUAAAAACAGGUUGUUUUUCACGUGGGUUCACUUGGGGUGCAAGCUGCAAGUAUGAGCUUGGGGGUUUACCCUUUGUUGUGUGAUUCUUAUGUAAAUAAAAGAGCAUGUUAGAUCACUACAUUCUAUAGAACAGGUGCUUUGGUGGAAUUGUUAUCACCAAGAUAGAAGGAAGCUCCCCGGAGGGAUGGGCAUGCCAAAUUCUCUUUGGUUCCCUCUGGAGUCAGAUGGACAGAGAGCAUCUCUCAGUGACAGAUGAAGCUGCUGGCAGACAGUUACCCAGCUUGUUUCUGUGGGUGGAUAUAGGAUGUGAGGAGAACAGGACUGCAUGCCAGUGGGCAGCCCCACCAUCCAAGAUUGACAAUCCUUUCUGCUAAGCCCUUUCAGUAAUUCCCAUGGCUGGUAGCAGUGUUUGGGUUUCAGGCAAUGGUGCCACAAAGCCACAGGCUCUCUUGUGAUGAUAACAUACUCAUCAACAAGCUGCUGCAGAGCAUAGCUCAUUCAGAUGGCUCUGGCCUUGCCUUCUCUGCAAGCAAGCUCUCCUCCUCCAGGAGUGGAUGCCAUUGCUCCUGUUGAGAUCAGGCACCAGACAGCAGCACACAGCCAUCAGCAUUCAAGUCCUGACAAGUCCUCUCAAUCUCCAGAACAAAAUAAUGCACUAAUCCAGGCUGCAGAAACCAGAAGGAUAGGCUCUCUGUUUACUGAGAACAGCACAGGUCUCAGCAUAGGUCCAUUAAUUUGCCCUAAAUGUCUCUAAUUUGUGUAUUCUGUUUAUUUUUGUCUGCCUUUGUUUCUAAUUACGGUGUGGCUCUUGGUGGUUGGGUUUCAGUUUGCUUUUUUUUUUUUUUCUUUUUACUCUUUCACAACAGUUUUAGCAGCCAUUUCUAUAGGAACGAUAUCUGGAGAGCUCUGGAAAUUGAUUGCCAGCAGAAACUGGGAGCUGGUUCAGUCAAGAAAACACAUCCAAGGAGAUUUCUCUGUGGGAUUUGCCCCUCAGAUUACAAUGUGAUGACCAUCUGCCUGCAGGAGAGGCCACGUACCUCACUCAGAGGUAUCUUCUCACUCACUGAUGAGAAGGACUUCACUUCCCCUCUCUGCUGACGCAGGACAUACUGUGUAGCCUUGAGCCAGGAUGGAGCUCUUGAUCACUGCAGUAAUAUACAGUAAAUGUGCCACUUUUCUCCAUAGAUUAAGCACAUCAGUGCUGUUGACCUGGCCAAAUGGCAAUCUUCAGAAGUUAUAUAAAAGAGAGACCUCUGAAAGCAGACUUAAAGGUCUUUUCCAGCCUCAAUAAUUUUUUAAUUCUAUGAAGAAUAUGAGGAUUGAGCAGGCAGUUUACCCUUCCUGAACUGAAUGUUGGUAGGUCCUCCAUCUUUUGCUCACAGUGUAACAGCGAGGCUGAUAAAGGAGAUUUGAAGAAAAGACUUUUCUGAGAAACAUGGUAUGGCCUUUUAGCCCUAAGUGGUUCCACCAUUGCCAGCACUUCAAAUGAGAUUUACAACUAGCUGAAGGCUCAGCAAGACAAAAUGAGUCCUUACCAGCUGCUCUUAGGUCAUGUUACAACUCGCAGACUGAGUGCUGUGGUUUCAUAGGAGUUUGCAGCGGCUGCUGAUGCUUUCUGCACCUAAACUCAUGUAGUUUGUGAUCAUUCUGCUGAGAGCUGUGGAUCUGCAUACUGCACACUGUUCCAGUGUGCCCAGAGGGAAUGGAUGCUCUGAUAAGGAAAAAGUUUUGCUUUUGGAAGACUUUAUUUCUUCUGGAUUUUGCUGACUGGGAUCUCCUGCUCAAGCAUGAAGCCUUUCUGAGAACUUUUAUCAAUACUCCAGACAUAGUUCAUGUGA
Long non-coding RNA from Lagopus muta (rock ptarmigan), 4013 nucleotides. RefSeq lists it as uncharacterized. The transcript is spliced from 2 exons. NCBI's taxonomy places the organism in Eukaryota, Metazoa, Chordata, Aves, Galliformes, Phasianidae. The record is from RefSeq and is a predicted model, not a curated record.